Molecule: ribosomal RNA, 102 nt
Filed under: uncultured archaeon
Lineage: Archaea
Description: partial 16S ribosomal RNA
Rfam family: Archaeal small subunit ribosomal RNA
Source: RNAcentral
CCCUACGGGGUGCACCAGGCGCGAAACCUCCGCAAUGCGAGCAAUCGCGACGGGGGAGACCCCAAGUGCCACUCUUAACGGGGUGGCUUUCUUAAGUUAAAA